CCUACGGGAGGCAGCAGUGGGGAAUAUUGGACAAUGGGCGAAAGCCUGAUCCAGCAAUGCCGCGUGUGUGAAGAAGGCCUGCGGGUUGUAAAGCACUUUCGGUAGGAAAGAAAAGGCCGCCGCCAAUACCGGCGGUUCUUGACGUUACCUACAGAAGAAGCACCGGCUAAUUCCGUGCCAGCAGCCGCGGUAAUACGGAAGGUGCGAGCGUUAAUCGGAAUUACUGGGCGUAAAGCGCGCGUAGGUGGUUCGGUAAGUCUGAUGUGAAAGCCCGGGGCUCACCCCCGGAAGGGCAUUGGAAACUGGCGGACUCGAGUCCCGGAGAGGAGGGUGGAAUUCCUGGUGUAGCGGUGAAAUGCGUAGAUAUCAGGAGGAACACCGGUGGCGAAGGCGGCCCUCUGGACGGUGACUGACGCUAAGACGCGAAAGCGUGGGGAGCAAACAGGAUUAGAUACCCUGGUAGUCCACGCUGUAAACGAUGAGCACUAGGUGUCGUGGGUAUUGACCCCCGCGGUGCCGCAGCUAACGCAUUAAGUGCUCCGCCUGGGGACUACGGCCGCAAGGUUAAAACUCAAGGAAUUGACGGG
This 587-nucleotide ribosomal RNA is filed under the name uncultured bacterium. Its description in RNAcentral is "bacterial SSU rRNA". It matches the Rfam family "Bacterial small subunit ribosomal RNA", at positions 338 to 917 of the family's 1533-position model. The record is from RNAcentral.